GAUGAACGCUGGCGGCGUGCCUAAUACAUGCAAGUCGAGCGAACAGACGAGGAGCUUGCUCCUCUGACGUUAGCGGCGGACGGGUGAGUAACACGUGGAUAACCUACCUAUAAGACUGGGAUAACUUCGGGAAACCGGAGCUAAUACCGGAUAAUAUAUUGAACCGCAUGGUUCAAUAGUGAAAGACGGUUUUGCUGUCACUUAUAGAUGGAUCCGCGCCGCAUUAGCUAGUUGGUACGGUAACGGCUUACCAAGGCAACGAUGCGUAGCCGACCUGAGAGGGUGAUAGGCCACACUGGAACUGAGACACGGUCCAGACUCCUACGGGAGGCAGCAGUAGGGAAUCUUCCGCAAUGGGCGAAAGCCUGACGGAGCAACGCCGCGUGAGUGAUGAAGGUCUUCGGAUCGUAAAACUCUGUUAUUAGGGAAGAACAAAUGUGUAAGUAACUAUGCACGUCUUGACGGUACCUAAUCAGAAAGCCACGGCUAACUACGUG
This 497-nucleotide ribosomal RNA is filed under the name uncultured bacterium. Its description in RNAcentral is "partial 16S ribosomal RNA". It matches the Rfam family "Bacterial small subunit ribosomal RNA", at positions 28 to 507 of the family's 1533-position model. The record is from RNAcentral.